UAGGGAAUAUUAGUAAUGGGCGAAAGCCUGAACUAGCAACGCCGCGUGUGCGAAGAAGGCCUUCGGGUCGUAAAGCACUUUUUGAGAGGAUGAGGAAGGACGGUACUCUCAGAAUAAGUCUCGGCUAACUACGUGCCAGCAGCCGCGGUAACACGUAGGAGGCAAACGUUAUCCGGAUUUACUGGGCGUAAAGCGCGUGUAGGUGGUUUGGUAAGUAGGGCGUGAAAGCUCCUGGCUCAACUGGGAGAGGACGUUCUAAACUGCCAAGAUUGAGGAUGGUAGAGGGAGGUGGAAUUCCGGGUGUGGCGGUGGAAUGCGCAGAUAUCCGGAGGAACACCAGUGGCGAAGGCGGCCUCCUGGACCACUCCUGACACUCAGACGCGAAAGCUAGGGUAGCAAACGG
RNAcentral lists this ribosomal RNA (403 nucleotides) under uncultured bacterium. RNAcentral's name for it is "bacterial SSU rRNA". It matches the Rfam family "Bacterial small subunit ribosomal RNA", at positions 355 to 775 of the family's 1533-position model. The record is from RNAcentral.